AAGAAUUCAUCUCACAGGAUCUAUUCUGUAGUAAAUCUCAGUUGACAAACUUUUUAUAGUUUCCAGCCCCUCAGUCACGAUGAGAGACUCUCUCAUUUACCUGAGCGUGAGGUUGUGAUGAUCUAUCUUCUCCGCAAUGAUUCAGAUCACACCCUCGAUAUCAACGCGCCUAACUCUCGAGUUGGGCGGGUGAAUGAGGUGUCUGGGUGGC
Molecule: small nucleolar RNA, 211 nt
Filed under: Diaphorina citri (Asian citrus psyllid)
Lineage: Eukaryota; Metazoa; Arthropoda; Insecta; Hemiptera; Psyllidae
Description: small nucleolar RNA U3
Rfam family: Small nucleolar RNA U3
About the family: Small nucleolar RNAs (snoRNAs) are involved in the processing and modification of rRNA in the nucleolus. There are two main classes of snoRNAs: the box C/D class, and the box H/ACA class. U3 snoRNA is a member of the box C/D class.
Source: Rfam by way of RNAcentral